AUUGAUGACUUUUAUAUAUGAAUUUUCUCCUUUUUUAUCAUCUUUGAAGAAAAGUUUUAAAAAUCUAAAUUUCAAGGCAUCUACCUGCAACCACUGCCUUGGAUGGCAGCAAUUCAGCUCAGGACAAGACGCCUCAAAGUGGAUGCUUUGACUCUCCUAUUUGGACCCCAAGGCUUAGACAGGUCCCGAAGCCUGUGAUCACUGCAGAAAUGGGAUUCAGGUGACCCACAAGCGCGCGCCAGACCCCAACAUCUACCGAGCAAACCAAGGGCUUCCGGCCGUGGCGGUUGCCAACUUGGCGGGUUUCCGGAGUGAGGGCGGGGCGGGGCUGAGAGACGGGCAAAGGAGCUUGGAGAAGCGUCCUGAGUUGCCAUGGAAACGAGGCCCAGCAGCAGUCUUAGCAGCCCAGAGGAGUCCUGUGAAGCUCUUCCCCAAGGACUGCUAGUGUUCACCGGUUCUUCGGAUCGCGAUGCCAACUUGGCCAAGCAGUUCUGGAUCGGGGCGUCAAUGUACCCCCCCAACGAAUCUCAGCUGGUGCUGUCCAGAGGUAGCAGCCAGCGUCUGCCGGUGGCGCGUCCUUCCAGGAGCAAUGCACCGGAGAAAACUUACUUCCAGCCUUUUUUCCUUGAGGAAAGCAAGAGUAGAGAUGUCACUGCUGAAACCCUAAAGAUUCAAGAAUCCGAGGAGAAAAAAAAGUAUCUCCAAAAGGCUAAAAAGAGAGAUGAAAUUAUCCAACUCUUAAGAAAACAAAGAGAAGAAAGGAUCUCGAAGGAACUGAUUUCCCUUCCACAUAAACCAAAAGGCAAAGUACACAAAGCAAGGAAUAUUUGCAUUUUAAAAGAGGGCUGACUAGAAGGAAUACUGGGUAAUCCAAAGAAAUCAGUCACCAGUGAUGAAAUCUCAGAAGUUUGACUCUUAGGAAAGUGAUUUCAGAGUCAGAUAAAGAAGACCAGGAAGAAGUCAAAGCCUUGGACUAAUUUGACUUGACACCUGGGAGAGGAUGGCUCACUUAGAUCUUCACUUUUGAAACAACUGGCUCUUACAUCAGGAUCACUGGAAUCAAUUAACUUAGACCAAGAAAUAAAAGUUAAAUAUGCAGCACUUCUAGGAAUACCAG
This is an RNA transcript of Cervus elaphus (red deer), 1117 nucleotides long. It is a transcript of the gene named HOATZ cilia and flagella associated protein, with no coding region annotated. NCBI's taxonomy places the organism in Eukaryota, Metazoa, Chordata, Mammalia, Artiodactyla, Cervidae. The transcript has 8 exons. The record is from RefSeq and is a predicted model, not a curated record.